This 232-nucleotide ribosomal RNA is filed under the name uncultured bacterium. RNAcentral describes it as "partial 16S ribosomal RNA". It matches the Rfam family "Bacterial small subunit ribosomal RNA", at positions 1270 to 1500 of the family's 1533-position model. The record is from RNAcentral.
CCCCUAAAAAACUACGUCUCAGUUCGGAUUGCAGGCUGCAACCCGCCCUGCAUGAAGCCGGAAUUGCUAGUAAUCGCGGAUCAGCAUGCCGCGGUGAAUACGUUCCCGGGCCUUGUACACACCGCCCGUCACACCAUGGGAGUCGGUAACACCCGAAGCCUGUGAGCUGACCGCAAGGAGGCAGCAGCCGAAGGUGGAUUCGAUGAUUGGGGUUAAGUCGUAACAAGGUAAC